AAUAAACGUUGGCGGUGCGCCUUAUGCAUGCAAGUCGAACGGCUGAGCACGUAACUUGUUAUGUGCUCGGUAGUGGCGAACGGCUGAGUAACACGUAAGUAACCUGCCUUGGAGUGGGAAAUAACUUGCUGAAAGGCGAGCUAAUGUCCCAUGCGGUAAUGAAGCUUAGGCUUCAUUAUUAAAGCCUUCGGGCGCUCCAAGAGGGGCUUGCGCCUGAUUAGCUAGUUGGCAGGGUAAUGGCCUACCAAGGCGAUGAUCAGUAGCUGGUCUGAGAGGAUGGCCAGCCAGAUGGGGACUGAGACACGGCCCCAACUCCUACGGGAGGCAGCAGCAAGGAAUCUUGGGCAAUGGGCGAAAGCCUGACCCAGCGACACCGCGUGAGGGAGGAAGGCCUUCGGGUUGUAAACCUCUUUUCCUGGGGAAGAAUCUUGACGGUACCCAGGGAAUAAGCCUCGGCCAACUACGUGCCAGCAGCCGCGGUAAUACGUAGGAGGCGAACGUUAUUCGGAUUUACUGGGCGUAAAGUGAGCGUAGGCGGUUCCUUAAGGCAGAUGUGAAAUCUUCUGGCUCAAUCAGAAGGAGUCAUUUGCUACUGAGGUACUUGAGAGCAACAGAGGGAAAUGGAAUCCCCAGUGUAGCGGUGAAAUGCGUAGAUAUUGGGGAGAACACCAGUGGCGAAGGCGAUUUCCCAGGUUGUUUCUGACGCUGAGGCUCGAAAGCGUGGGGAGCGAAGCGGAUUAGGUACCCGCGUAGUCCACGCCCUAAACGGUGGACACUAGAUAUAGGAGGUAUCGACCCUUUCUGUGUCGAAGCUAACGCUUUAAGUGUCCCGCCUGGGGAGUACGGCCGCAAGGCUG
Molecule: ribosomal RNA, 857 nt
Filed under: uncultured bacterium
Lineage: Bacteria
Description: bacterial SSU rRNA
Rfam family: Bacterial small subunit ribosomal RNA
Source: RNAcentral